Molecule: non-coding RNA, 265 nt
Filed under: Drosophila virilis
Lineage: Eukaryota; Metazoa; Arthropoda; Insecta; Diptera; Drosophilidae
Description: Eukaryotic small subunit ribosomal RNA
Rfam family: Eukaryotic small subunit ribosomal RNA
Source: Rfam by way of RNAcentral
AUUCUGGUUGAUCCUGCCAGUAGUUAUAUGUUUGUCUCAAAAAUUAAGCCAUGCAUGUCUAAGUACACACGAAUUAACAGUGAAACUGCAAAAGGCUCAUUAUAUCAGUUAUGGUUCCUUAGAUCGUUAACAGUUACUUGGAUAACUGUGGUAAUUCUAGAGCUAAAACAUGCAAUUAAAACACGGACCUUUUGGAACGUGUGCUUUUAUUAGGCUAAAACCAAGCGAUCGCAAGAUCGUUUUAUUGGUUGAACUCUAGAUAACA